Molecule: ribosomal RNA, 466 nt
Filed under: Vreelandella stevensii
Lineage: Bacteria; Pseudomonadati; Pseudomonadota; Gammaproteobacteria; Oceanospirillales; Halomonadaceae
Description: partial 16S ribosomal RNA
Rfam family: Bacterial small subunit ribosomal RNA
Source: RNAcentral
CCUACGGGGGGCUGCAGUGGGGAAUAUUGGACAAUGGGCGAAAGCCUGAUCCAGCCAUGCCGCGUGUGUGAAGAAGGCCUUCGGGUUGUAAAGCACUUUCAGUGGGGAAGAAAGCCUUGGGGCUAAUACCCUCGAGGAAGGACAUCACCCACAGAAGAAGCACCGGCUAACUCCGUGCCAGCAGCCGCGGUAAUACGGGAGGGUGCGAGCGUUAAUCGGAAUUACUGGGCGUAAAGCGCGCGUAGGCGGUCUGAUAAGCCGGUUGUGAAAGCCCCGGGCUCAACCUGGGAACGGCAUCCGGAACUGUCAGGCUAGAGUGCAGGAGAGGAAGGUAGAAUUCCCGGUGUAGCGGUGAAAUGCGUAGAGAUCGGGAGGAAUACCAGUGGCGAAGGCGGCCUUCUGGACUGACACUGACGCUGAGGUGCGAAAGCGUGGGUAGCAAACAGGAUUAGAUACCCGUGUAGUC